This 21-nucleotide non-coding RNA is filed under the name Caenorhabditis elegans. Lineage: Eukaryota; Metazoa; Nematoda; Chromadorea; Rhabditida; Rhabditidae. The record is from RNAcentral.
UGACAGUUACAUUUGGGUUCA